AUCGAACGAUGAACCGGCUUCGGCCGGGGAUUAGUGGCGAACGGGUGAGUAACACGUGGGCAAUCUGCCCGCACUCUGGGACAAGCCCUGGAAACGGGGUCUAAUACCGGAUACGACACGCUCCCGCAUGGGAUGCGUGUGGAAAGCUCCGGCGGUGCAGGAUGAGCCCGCGGCCUAUCAGCUUUUGGUGGGGUGAUGGCCUACCAAGGCGACGACGGGUAGCCGGCCUGAGAGGGCGACCGGCCACACUGGGACUGAGACACGGCCCAGACUCACUACGGGAGGCAGCAGUGGGGAAUAUUGCACAAUGGGCGAAAGCCUGAUGCAGCGACGCCGCGUGAGGGAUGACGGCCUUCGGGUUGUAAACCUCUUUCAGCAGGGAAGAAGCGAGAGUGACGGUACCUGCAGAAGAAGCGCCGGCUAACUACGUGCCAGCAGCCGCGGUAAUACGUAGGGCGCAAGCGUUGUCCGGAAUUAUUGGGCGUAAAUAGCUCGUAGGCGGCUUGUCGCGUCGGAUGUGAAAGCCCGGGGCUUAACUCCGGGUCUGCAUUCGAUACGGGCAGGCUAGAGUUCGGUAGGGGAGAUCGGAAUUCCUGGUGUAGCGGUGAAAUGCGCAGAUAUCAGGAGGAACACCGGUGGCGAAGGCGGAUCUCUGGGCCGAUACUGACGCUGAGGAGCGAAAGCGUGGGGAGCGAACAGGAUUAGAUACCCUGGUAGUCCACGCCGUAAACGUUGGGAACUAGGUGUGGGCGACAUUCCACGUCGUCCGCGCCGCAGCUAACGCAUUAAGUUCCCCGCCUGGGGAGUACGGCCGCAAGGCUAAAACUCAAAGGAAUUGACGGGGGCCCGCACAAGCGGCGGAGCAUGUGGCUUAAUUCGACGCAACGCGAAGAACCUUACCAAGGCUUGACAUACACCGGAAACCUCUGGAGACAGGGGCCCCCUUGUGGUCGGUGUACAGGUGGUGCAUGGCUGUCGUCAGCUCGUGUCGUGAGAUGUUGGGUUAAGUCCCGCAACGAGCGCAACCCUUGUUCUGUGUUGCCAGCAUGCCUUUCGGGGUGAUGGGGACUCACAGGAGACUGCCGGGGUCAACUCGGAGGAAGGUGGGGACGACGUCAAGUCAUCAUGCCCCUUAUGUCUUGGGCUGCACACGUGCUACAAUGGCCGGUACAAUGAGCUGCGAAGCCGUGAGGUGGAGCGAAUCUCAAAAAGCCGGG
RNAcentral lists this ribosomal RNA (1217 nucleotides) under Streptomyces sp. RNAcentral's name for it is "bacterial SSU rRNA". It matches the Rfam family "Bacterial small subunit ribosomal RNA", at positions 61 to 1286 of the family's 1533-position model. Lineage: Bacteria; Bacillati; Actinomycetota; Actinomycetes; Kitasatosporales; Streptomycetaceae. The record is from RNAcentral.